Molecule: long non-coding RNA, 806 nt
Filed under: Homo sapiens (human)
Lineage: Eukaryota; Metazoa; Chordata; Mammalia; Primates; Hominidae
Description: HSALNT0225238
Source: RNAcentral
CUGCUUUAUAUGUUGGGCGUCUGUGUAAAGUUUUGUCUGAAGGGAGAUUUUUGCCACUAAAGCACAUUUGAAAAUCCACUGAGCUAGAAGAACUCUUUCUUUCAGCUUGAAACUUCUAUGAGUCUGUUACUAAGCGCCCAGGAGAUGGGCACAUGGAACAGAAGAUAACAUGCAUAUAGAAAUCGAUGGAAGGGUUGACACAUAUUCUUCUAUUCACAGGUAGGAGCAAUCGUUACUUUCUCCUGGGAGCCUGGAAGCUGCCUUGCCCCCACACUUCCCCUGUGUACUCCUCUUCACUUCUCACUGUGAAAAGGCAAAAUAAAAUGGAGAAGGAAAAGUGGAUGAGUGGAAGGUAAAAGGUAAAACGGUCCCCCUCAAGGGUCCUGUCCCAGAACAAAAUGAAAAAUGACGCUUUAUUUUUCACAGUAUCUUUUCUCAAGAAGUUCACGACGCUUUAGGAAACUGGUCUCAUAAAUCUUCAAGACACUCUUGAGAGGUAGAAAGCAAUGGUUUCACCCCCAUUAUACAGGUGAGGAAACUGAGGUAUAGCAGCAGAGGAAGAGUAACUUGCCAGGGCCUUUAAUAACAGUCUGAAAAACAGCAGAUUUUCUCUUUUCCAAGUCAGUUCCCCAAGUUUAUGCCUGCAUCCUAUUUGCCAAUAACCACAGGGAUAAAGUACUAAUUUCAAGAGAUCCAGAAAAUGCUUCCACUUUUAAAAAAAUACAUUAACUACAAUGUGUUUAUCUAAAUACUAAGCUAAUAAUGUACAUGGCCUUAAAUAAAUGCAUGUGAAAGUCCAUGUGUGC